GACGUAGGGUCCAAGCGUUGUCCGGAUUUACUGGGCGUAAAGAGCGCGUAGGCGGUCUGUUAAGUGUAGAGUGAAAUCUCCAGGGCUCAACCCGGAAACUGCUCUGCAUACUGGCAGACUGGAGUGAUGCAGAGGUUUGUGGAAUUCCUGGUGUAACGGUGAAAUGUGUUGAUAUCAGGAGGAACACCGGUGGCGAAGGCGGCAUCCUGGACCGGUAUUGACGCUGAGGCGCGAAAGCCAGGGGAGCAAACGGG
Molecule: ribosomal RNA, 254 nt
Filed under: uncultured bacterium
Lineage: Bacteria
Description: partial 16S ribosomal RNA
Rfam family: Bacterial small subunit ribosomal RNA
Source: RNAcentral